UGAACUCACAAACCAUGAGAUAAUGACUGAUCUGAAGUCGGACACCUAACCGACUGAGCCACCCAGGGGCCCCACCAAAUGGUUUUUAAGGGCAGAGUGCCAUGGUCAACUCUUUGCUAUAUGGAGAAUGAAUUAGAGGGGCAAAGUCUAGAUGCAUGGAGAAGUUAGUUGGCUGUCACUAUAGUGCAGGUAAAAAAAGAUGAGUGGCUAAACUAAGACUUGAGGAUGGAGAAGAGAGGAGAGAUUGGAGGUAUUAGAAGACAGAAUCACUUACUGGAUGUGAAGGAUGAAAGAGAGAAAUGAGUUGGUGUUGGUACCUGGGGAGUGGUGGUGGUGGUAUUACUAUUGACAGAGACAAUAAAUGGAUGGAGAACAGGUUUUGGGGAAAAGGGGAGUUCAUUUUGGGGCAUGCUGAAUGUGAAGUACCUGUGAGGCAACAAGAUGGAUGUAAAUCCAAGAGAUAAGAAAUUCAGGUCUGGACACACAGGUUUGGGAAUCAUUAGUGUUUAGACAGUAGCUGUAGCCACUGAAGUGGAUGAAGUAACCCAGGCAGAGAGUGUGUACAAUGAGAAAAGAUAAAUGUAACAACAGAACCCCAAGAAAGCAUUUAGGACUACAGCAAGAAAUUAACUAAAGUCAUUCAGAAUGGUCAGAGAAGAUAGGAAGAGUAUCAGUAGAGGAUACGAGAAGCCAAGAAAAGAGAGUUGCACAAUGUAGAAGGUUAUAUUAACAGUGGUUAUACAAAUAUGAUAGGACUUUACUGAUUUUCUAUUUUCUCUAGUUUCCAUAUUUUACAUAAUAACUCUCAUAAAUACUCAAAUCCCUCCAACAGAGAAGAGGCAAUAAGGAAGUGCUACAUACCCCAGAGAGGUCAAGUAAGAAGAUACCUGAGAAAAAGUCACUAGACUUGACAGUUAGGUCACUGGUGACUUAAGAAAGAAACAAUUCAGCAGAAUGAUGGAUGCAGAAGCUGAAUUAUAGGCAGUAGGAAGAAGAGGGGGGAUCUGCUGAUGCUCCUUAUUCUGAAAUCCGUGAAUAAUGAAGACACCUGCAGGAUAACAGAUCAAUAAAGCAAGAGUUAAACUCUAUUCAGAUGUGCUGAGAAAUGGA
This is a long non-coding RNA of Herpailurus yagouaroundi (jaguarundi), 1110 nucleotides long. RefSeq lists it as uncharacterized. The transcript is spliced from 2 exons. Lineage: Eukaryota; Metazoa; Chordata; Mammalia; Carnivora; Felidae. The record is from RefSeq and is a predicted model, not a curated record.